This 465-nucleotide ribosomal RNA is filed under the name Vreelandella stevensii. RNAcentral's name for it is "partial 16S ribosomal RNA". It matches the Rfam family "Bacterial small subunit ribosomal RNA", at positions 338 to 795 of the family's 1533-position model. Lineage: Bacteria; Pseudomonadati; Pseudomonadota; Gammaproteobacteria; Oceanospirillales; Halomonadaceae. The record is from RNAcentral.
CCUACGGGUGGCUGCAGUGGGGAAUAUUGGACAAUGGGCGAAAGCCUGAUCCAGCCAUGCCGCGUGUGUGAAGAAGGCCUUCGGGUUGUAAAGCACUUUCAGUGGGGAAGAAAGCCUUGGGGCUAAUACCCUCGAGGAAGGACAUCACCCACAGAAGAAGCACCGGCUAACUCCGUGCCAGCAGCCGCGGUAAUACGGAGGGUGCGAGCGUUAAUCGGAAUUACUGGGCGUAAAGCGCGCGUAGGCGGUCUGAUAAGCCGGUUGUGAAAGCCCCGGGCUCAACCUGGGAACGGCAUCCGGAACUGUCAGGCUAGAGUGCAGGAGAGGAAGGUAGAAUUCCCGGUGUAGCGGUGAAGUGCGUAGAGAUCGGGAGGAAUACCAGUGGCGAAGGCGGCCUUCUGGACUGACACUGACGCUGAGGUGCGAAAGCGUGGGUAGCAAACAGGAUUAGAUACCCCAGUAGUC